UACGGAGGGGGCCAGCGUUGUCCGGAUUUAUUGGGCGUAAAGAGCGUGUAGGCGGCCAUACAGGUCCGUUGUGAAAACUGGAGGCUUAACCUCCAGACGUCGAUGGAAACCGUAUGGCUAGAGUCCGGAAGAGGAGAGUGGAAUUCCUGGUGUAGCGGUGAAAUGCGCAGAUAUCAGGAAGAACACCCGUGGCGAAGGCGGCUCUCUGGGACGGUACUGACGCUGAGACGCGAAAGCGUGGGGAGCGAACAGG
Molecule: ribosomal RNA, 253 nt
Filed under: uncultured bacterium
Lineage: Bacteria
Description: partial 16S ribosomal RNA
Rfam family: Bacterial small subunit ribosomal RNA
Source: RNAcentral